Molecule: ribosomal RNA, 791 nt
Filed under: uncultured marine microorganism
Description: bacterial SSU rRNA
Rfam family: Bacterial small subunit ribosomal RNA
Source: RNAcentral
AGAGUUUGAUCCUGGCUCAGAUUGAACGCUGGCGGCAGGCCUAACACAUGCAAGUCGAACGGUAACAUUUCUAGCUUGCUAGAAGAUGACGAGUGGCGGACGGGUGAGUAAUGCUUGGGAACUUGCCUUUGCGAGGGGGAUAACAGUUGGAAACGACUGCUAAUACCGCAUAAUGUCUACGGACCAAACGGGGCUUAGGCUCCGGCGCAAAGAGAGGCCCAAGUGAGAUUAGCUAGUUGGUAAGGUAAUGGCUUACCAAGGCAACGAUCUCUAGCUGUUCUGAGAGGAAGAUCAGCCACACUGGAACUGAGACACGGUCCAGACUCCUACGGGAGGCAGCAGUGGGGAAUAUUGCACAAUGGGGGAAACCCUGAUGCAGCCAUGCCGCGUGUGUGAAGAAGGCCUUCGGGUUGUAAAGCACUUUCAGUUGUGAGGAAAAGUUAGUAGUUAAUACCUGCUAGCCGUGACGUUAACAACAGAAGAAGCACCGGCUAACUCCGUGCCAGCAGCCGCGGUAAUACGGAGGGUGCGAGCGUUAAUCGGAAUUACUGGGCGUAAAGCGCACGCAGGCGGUUUGUUAAGCUAGAUGUGAAAGCCCCGGGCUCAACCUGGGAUGGUCAUUUAGAACUGGCAGACUAGAGUCUUGGAGAGGGGAGUGGAAUUCCAGGUGUAGCGGUGAAAUGCGUAGAUAUCUGGAGGAACAUCAGUGGCGAAGGCGACUCCCUGGCCAAAGACUGACGCUCAUGUGCGAAAGCGUGGGUAGCGAACAGGAUUAGAUACCCUGGUAGUCC